RNAcentral lists this ribosomal RNA (301 nucleotides) under Klebsiella pneumoniae. RNAcentral describes it as "bacterial SSU rRNA". It matches the Rfam family "Bacterial small subunit ribosomal RNA", at positions 460 to 760 of the family's 1533-position model. Lineage: Bacteria; Pseudomonadati; Pseudomonadota; Gammaproteobacteria; Enterobacterales; Enterobacteriaceae. The record is from RNAcentral.
CCUCAUCGAUUGACGUUACCCGCAGAAGAAGCACCGGCUAACUCCGUGCCAGCAGCCGCGGUAAUACGGAGGGUGCAAGCGUUAAUCGGAAUUACUGGGCGUAAAGCGCACGCAGGCGGUCUGUCAAGUCGGAUGUGAAAUCCCCGGGCUUAACCUGGGAACUGCAUUCGAAACUGGCAGGCUAGAGUCUUGUAGAGGGGGGUAGAAUUCCAGGUGUAGCGGUGAAAUGCGUAGAGAUCUGGAGGAAUACCGGUGGCGAAGGCGGCCCCCUGGACAAAGACUGACGCUCAGGUGCGAAAGC